Molecule: ribosomal RNA, 252 nt
Filed under: uncultured bacterium
Lineage: Bacteria
Description: partial 16S ribosomal RNA
Rfam family: Bacterial small subunit ribosomal RNA
Source: RNAcentral
UACAUAGGUGGCAAGCGUUAUCCGGAAUUAUUGGGCGUAAAGCGUCUGUAGGUGGCUUAUUAAGUCUCGAGUUAAAACCUGGUGCUCAACACCAGUCCGCUUUAGAUACUGAUAGGCUAGAGUGAUGUAGAGGUUAGUGGAAUUCCAUGUGAAGCGGUGGAAUGCGUAGAUAUAUGGAAGAACAUCAAUGGCGAAGGCAACUAACUGGGCAUUAACUGACACUGAGAGACGAAAGCGUGGGGAGCAAACAGG